UGAGACUGUCCUGGCUACAGCGAACGCUGGCGGCAGGCCUAACACAUGCAAGUCGAGCGGCAGCGCGGGGGCAACCCUGGCGGCGAGCGGCGAACGGGUGAGUAAUACAUGGGAAUCUACCUAGUAGUGGGGGAUAACUUCGGGAAACUGGAGGUAAUACCGCAUACGUCCUACGGGAGAAAGGGGGGGAUCUUCGGACCUCUCGCUAUUAGAGGAGCCCAUGUCCGAUUAGCUAGUUGGUGAGGUAAAGGCUCACCAAGGCGACGAUCGGUAACUGGUCUGAGAGGAUGGUCAGUCACACUGGAACUGAGACACGGUCCAGACUCCUACGGGAGGCAGCAGUGAGGAAUAUUGGUCAAUGGGCGGAAGCCUGAACCAGCCAUGCCGCGUGCGGGACGAAGGCGCUACGCGUCGUAAACCGCUUUUGUCCGGGGGUAACCGUGGGGACGCGUCCCCACCUGCAAGUACCGGACGAAUAAGGGUCGGCUAACUCCGUGCCAGCCGCCGCGGUAAUACAAGCCGAAUUCCACACACUA
RNAcentral lists this ribosomal RNA (536 nucleotides) under uncultured bacterium. Its description in RNAcentral is "bacterial SSU rRNA". It matches the Rfam family "Bacterial small subunit ribosomal RNA", at positions 37 to 537 of the family's 1533-position model. The record is from RNAcentral.